Small nucleolar RNA from Cavia porcellus (domestic guinea pig), 141 nucleotides. The record is from Ensembl. Lineage: Eukaryota; Metazoa; Chordata; Mammalia; Rodentia; Caviidae.
CUGGCCCUGAAUCAAGGCCAGCAGCUUCCUGACACUGUUGGUUUCAAGCAGGAACCUAAAGAGAUGUCUUUCUAUGGUCUGUUGGCCGUAGAACAUAGAACUUGGGCAGUGAAAUGGUCAAUUCAUUAGAAAAAAACAGCU